GGCCACAUCAGUUGAAACAGCGGUUUCUGUACUAUCACCAAAGUUAAGCAAGGUCAAGCUUGGUUAGUACCUAUAUGGGUGACUGCUUGGGAAUACCAGGUGCUGUAAG
Acanthosepion pharaonis is the source of this 109-nucleotide non-coding RNA. The record is from the annotation of a GenBank genome assembly. NCBI's taxonomy places the organism in Eukaryota, Metazoa, Mollusca, Cephalopoda, Sepiida, Sepiidae.